Molecule: non-coding RNA, 21 nt
Filed under: Caenorhabditis elegans
Lineage: Eukaryota; Metazoa; Nematoda; Chromadorea; Rhabditida; Rhabditidae
Source: RNAcentral
UGGAAUUCGUGGCAGUUUAAU